RNAcentral lists this ribosomal RNA (244 nucleotides) under uncultured bacterium. RNAcentral's name for it is "partial 16S ribosomal RNA". It matches the Rfam family "Bacterial small subunit ribosomal RNA", at positions 334 to 595 of the family's 1533-position model. The record is from RNAcentral.
UAUGCCUACGGUACGCAGCAGUAGGGAAUAUUGCUCAAUGGGGGAAACCCUGAUGCAGCGACGCCGCGUGAGUGAAGAAGUAAUUCGUUAUGUAAACCUCUAUCAGCAGGGAAGAAAAUGACGGUACCUGAGUAAGAAGCCCCGGCUAACUACGUGCCAGCAGCCGCGGUAAUACGUAGGGGGCAAGCGUUAUCCGGAUUUACUGGGUGUAAAGGGAGCGUAGCCGGCAGUGCAAGUCUGGAGU